This 5549-nucleotide unclassified non-coding RNA is filed under the name Haliotis rubra (blacklip abalone). Its description in RNAcentral is "uncharacterized LOC124290933, transcript variant X2". The record is from RNAcentral. Lineage: Eukaryota; Metazoa; Mollusca; Gastropoda; Lepetellida; Haliotidae.
ACAUGUCAUAUGACUGAGAAUAUUUCACGUCUGAAUUGGUUACGCCUUGAUGUUUAAACUAGGAUGAUGUGGAAUGAUGAGCUCCCCUGCAGGAGGUGAAGAUGAGUGUUCCAGAUGUACUCAAGUACGGAACAGAUACACAGAGAAGGAGAACCGUGAACCAGUCAACAAACUUUUACCAGUUCACACCGAAUAUAAGAUUCUAACGGAGGGUGGCAAGAGAAGACAAGGAGAAGAAGCAAAGAAAACAGGAAAGAAGACAUUUGCGGAUCAAGUCGCCAAAGCAGCGUCAGCAUUACGUAACAGUGGUGGAGGAGUGUUGCUAGUCCACGUACAAGGGACGUCCCAGGAAGACCGGUGUCUGGAGUACUUUGACGAGGCCGUCAGAAAGGAGUUGACAGGGUUACUUGAAAACGGUGAACUCUAUACUGACGUCUAUGAACGUAAAUGUUUGUGUCAGAUUGAAACAUUUGAAGAUAUCACGGACUUUGUUCAGAUAAACGUUGGGAAAGUUGAGAGUGUAUGUACUGUUGAUUUCAACACAAAAGCAAGUAAUGACAGUGAGAAUCUUAGCAUCAACUCAUCAAACAUACAGGUGUUGCUGAGAAAAACAGAAACUCAAGCACGUAUCCUCCCUACUGCAGAACUACCAGAUAACGUCCAGGACCUUCACGAGAACCGACAUAUACAGCUGAAAACAUUCAAGACCACGAAGGAAGUCACAAGCAUUAAGGGAGAUGCUAAACAGUUGACUGACUACAUAUGGAACAAAUUGAAGCUCAAGGACAACAUUACAUCUAUGUCCAAGGUUGUUGGUGGGGGGUCAUACUUCUUGGGUGUUAGCGAAUCAAGACUAACAACGAAAGAAGGAUAUACAACUAAGCAACCGGAAUACACUGGUUUUAAGUUGGACAUAUCACAAGAGUCUCUGAGAGAACACAUUUACAAGAAGCUGAAAACUGACAUCUGUGUCUUGGAUCUUGACAGAAAGUUUAUAGAAGGACCAAGGAACUUGAUCGAUAUUACAUUCCACACCGUCCCCAGGCUGGAUGCUGGCUUAGUUGUAUUGGAAGUUGCCAUUCGUUAUUGUCGGGGAGUUGUGUUCUACGACAAGGAAGGACCCAGAACAUAUCAUGUCACAGAUAGCGGUGCGACAAACACGAAAAAUGUUCGUCGAAUGAAUCGUUCUGAAUGGCUUCGAAGAUUACAGAUCAUGCACUCUCAUUUUCAUACUUAAACUGUUGGGAAGUAGCUGUUCAAUCUAUGACAGUCUAAACUAAUAACUCAAGUAGAACAGCAUUUGACAUUUGUGUAUAGUUAUAUAAGCAACCAUGUCCGACAGUGACGCUGGAACAUCAACUGGCUCUACACCUUAUGAGUCGGAGGAUGACAUGAUUUGCUACAUCACCGGAUCCACACAGUCACCAUCCGAGCAUCCUGACCAGGAACCAGAUGCCAGGCGACUCAAUGAAAGAAGUUUGCCUUCCCGACAGAUGCAGACAGAAACGACGCCAUUGGCUGGGGCAUCAGUAGCUGCUGCUGACGGUGUCCUGGGUCCUGACACAAAUAACCAUUUGAACAAGACAAGCGUUUCUAACAGCGAUGUGCCGUCACUUGUACCUGCUGAUGGCAGUGCGGAAAGUCCAUACAUGAGAACUCCUGACAGAACAGUUAUCAACCGGCUAUCUGUGCCUUCUGACGAUGAUGCCUUAGGUAUUAACCCCAGCAUUCUGCGACGUCUGACAAAAAAUGUUUUUGGCAAAAAGGCAAAGUACCAGGUGUCUGAAGCUCCAGCCGACAGUGGCCAAAUUAGUGACACAAGCAAAGUUCUGCGCUUGGCAAGUAUUUUCGACAGCACAGUAACGGAUCAGACAUCCAUAGCUUCUACUACCAAGAAAAGUAAUUUGGGCAGAACUGAAUCUGUAGCUUCUGCGGACAGUGGCAUAGGCCUUCGAAAGAUAUCGAAGUGAGAUGAGUGAUAAGGUUUAUACAACCACUGCCAGAUGAAACAAAAUUUGGGGCAGAGAAGCUUAGACGAGGCAUCUAUAGUUUCUGGCAACAGUGGCGUGGGUACUGACACAAUCAAACUCCAUAUCUUGAAGGUGGCACAAUUGUGCUCUCUGUGAGCUACCUGUUAUCCAUUUCCUGUUGAUGUUAACGUGCUGCUUAUUUCCACUUCUCGUGUAUUUGUACCUGUUACUCCAACUUGAUGAAUGAAACACUGCUGUAUGGCUACGGGGUGGGAUAAGUCAUGUUACUAUAUAUAUAUGAACCUUCUAGCGCCUAACGGGAAGCUUUGGUUAUCCGGGGUAAUAAUAUCGGUGUGGGGUGGCCUUAUUAUCAAUAUUAUCAAUGUUUAUUGAUUGGGAGACCAUUUACACUGUUAAAUGCGUCUACAAAGAAAUUUUCUCCUUUUUUAUCCCAUAUCUGGCUGAACUUAAUACUGAUUUGAGGAAUUCUAUAUCAAAACCAGACGCCGCUAUCAAAAAUGUAGAAAUUGAAAAUGAAAACGUUAAAAAUUGAAACUGUUACCUGAGUGAGUGAGUAAAUAUUGCUUAAUACCCCAUCAGCAAUGUUGCAGCUAUUUGUGGCAACUACAGGUACCUAGGCACUAUCGUUAACUAUAAUUCCGGAUGCGCACGCACAGCGACAAGACGUACUCGUAAAGAGCUCUGGCCAGGCGCGCUAAUGUUUUUUUUUAAUCCAAAUAAUCUAUGAAGAAUUCUCAAGUUAAUAUACCAUAGGACAACAUAUUUGAAGACUACGGAUACAAUCCAACCAUUGAGUACAGCGAUACAAGUAAAUAUCCCACAAAAACAGUGCAAAAGUGAGUAGAUAUUAACAUUGCCAUGCCUCCGAAAACGCGUGCAGACGAGGUGGAGGAAAUUGUUGUUAAAUCCGAAGAAAUAGUCUCCAAAUUUAUUGUAGAACUCCGUGCUGACCUAGUUAACUCUACAAAAGACAUUAAAGGUGAAAUACAGAAAGUGACUACGAGAGUUAACGAUAUCGAAAAUGCAGUGUCCAUUCAGCAGGACGAAGUGAACGACUUGCGCCAACAGGUCUCACAAUUAAAGCAAGCACUUUCGGAGCAAGCGGAAUUGUUUGAGAAUAGACUCGUGCUUAAAGAAAUCCACGAUAGAAAAUCUAACCUGUUGAUAUAUGGUCUAAAAUCUGAACCACAGGGGAACUCUGAGAGAGUCAUCAGAAACUUUCUGGUUAAUAUGCUUAACUUUUCCGAGCAAAGGGUGGAUAACAUUUACUUCAAAGCGGUUCAUCGCCUACCACGCAAGCCGUUUGAGAACGACUCAACUCCAAAUACACCCCCUCCUAUCAUUUCAUCAUUUCUGUACAUCCCCGACAGAGAUUAUGUCCUCGACGCGGGAAAAACAUUGAAAGGUAAAGGGGUAUCUGUCCGUACGGAUUUGCCCCCCAAACUGAAGAAACAGCGAGCAAUCCUGUACAGAGAAAGCUGUUACACUCGCGUGAGACUGGUGGGUGUAUCCCACGUGCUGGAGACUCGGGACCCUCGAGAAUCACAAUCAUCCUGGGUUGCCUAUCCAGUGAACCUCGACAAGCAUUGGACAAAAGGAUAAAUGUACCUACCUUACGUGAUGACCAUACAAGUUUUUCAUCAUUCAGAUGCUGUAGAGAUUUUAUAUCCAAAAGAAAAGUAUGUCUUCUGUUGUCCCACUAUCCAGGACGUGAAAUCGUAUGGAGGUGCUGUCAGUGAUACCUUCGGAUCAACAGAUUCCAGGGCAAUCCGUGUGCAUACUCUUACAUGCUGGAAUUCACCACGAACAGGUAAUGCAAAAUGUGGGCUCUUGUUGAAACGUUAAAAAAAACUCACAUCACUACAGCUUUGUUAGGAUCGUAAAUUAAUGUUGCAGAGUCACUCCGAACUUUCAUGUAGAUCCUGUGUACCAGACCUUUUUCACGGGACUCUCCAGUAACUGCUCAUAUUAAUCCAUGUGCAUUAUCCGGUGACAACACUUAGAUCGUAACUCAUGUUGCAGAGUCACUCCGAACUUUCAUGUAGAUCCUGUGUACCAGACCUUUUUCACGGGACUCUCCAGUAACUGCUCAUAUUUAUCCAUGUGCAUUAUCCGGUGACAACACUUAGGAUCGUAACUCAUGUUGCAGAGUCACUCCGAACUUUCAUGUAAAUCCUGUGUACCAGAACUUUUUCACGGGACUCUCCAGUAACUGCUCAUAUUUAUCCAUGUGCAUUAUCCGGUGAAAACACUUAGUCUAUUCUGUAUUCCCUGUGACUGGUCAUUCUAACAGGGAGAAGUGACAUUUGUCAGAACACCCAUAUGUUGCGAUAGUUAAUUAACACUAAUCUGAACAUUCUGCAUCUGUUGGGGUCCGCCUGCAGAGUCUGUUGCUCGACGUUUGGGCAGGUGCGUUUUUAAGUUAUUUUGUGGUUAGUUCGUUGAAUAGAAUAGAUCCUAACAUUGAACGUAUUAAGACAAUUUAUGGCAUGACGCAACCAUUGUUCAGUUAGCAUGUCGCUGAAAUCUAUCAAACAGAUGAACGAAGCCUAUUCAAGAUUCAUUUAUAAUUACGAUAAUAUUGAUAUUAUUUCCUUUCGUCAAAAUGUGGCUGAUGUUAAUUGGGAUUUUCUUACACAAAAUGAUGAUGUUGAUGCCAUUGCUUCAAAAUUUGUUAAUACAUUAACAGACUUAUGUAAAUCAAAUAUUCCAAAUAAAACUGUUGUGAUUCGUCCAAAUUAUGCUCCGUGGAUGAACGGAUUUAUAAGAAAACUUAUGCGUAAGAAAAAUAGAAUUCAUAGAAAGACUACACGUAGUAACUUGCCUAAUGAUUGGGAUAAAUUUAGAAAAAGUCGAAAUAAGCUUAUCUCAGAGAUACGUAAAAGUAAGUCAUUGUAUGUUGAAAAGCUUGAUAAUGUUGUCAAUACCUAACAUGGUAGUAAAUCUUGGUGGCGGAUUGUUAAACAUUAUCUUAAGAAAACAGAUAAAGCUAAGGUAUUUCCACACAUUGAACACAAUGGUGUUGUUUAUGAAGAUGAUAUUGAGAAAGCAAAUGUUUUUAAUGACUACUUCGUGAGUAUGGCAGCGGUUAACAGUUCUUCUGAUGAUGUUAAUGUAUAUUCUGAUAUUAACGUGGAAAAUUGUUUGAUAUUUCUUUGUCCUCUUCUCAAUUUCCAGAUAUAUGGAAAUGUUCAUCCGUUGUUCCAAUUUAUAAGAAAAAUAAUGUUCAUGAUUAUACUAAUUAUCGACCGGUUUCACUUACUAGUUGUCUUUCAAAAGUAUUUGAGAAAGGUGUUUUUAAAUAUGUGUUUCUAGAUAAUGGAACUAUUACUUCAUUACAGUCAGGUUUCACGACUGGUGAUUCUACAUCAUACCAGCUCACUCAUUUGUAUGACUAUAUAGCUAAGGCGAUGGAUAGUGGCAAGGAGGUACGCGCUGUAUUCUACGAUAUAAGUAAAGCGUUUGAUAGGGUUUGGCACAAGGGUCUUUUGCAUAAGUUAUGGGCUAGUGGAAUUCGCGGAUCUCUUUUAUUAUGGUUUGAAAGUUAUCUAAAUAAUA